Ornithodoros turicata is the source of this 1395-nucleotide long non-coding RNA. RefSeq lists it as uncharacterized. The transcript has 2 exons. NCBI's taxonomy places the organism in Eukaryota, Metazoa, Arthropoda, Arachnida, Ixodida, Argasidae. The record is from RefSeq and is a predicted model, not a curated record.
GUUAACCAAAAACGAGGAGGAGGCGUCAGCCGAUUGAAGAAUUCUGAAGGCAACAGCAUCACGGCCUCGUGACAGCUGCAACAAGUGGAAUCUCUGUCAGAUGAUAGCUGCCUUGCUGCACUGCGUCCAGAAGGCUUCCCAGAAGGAUAGCCCGGACUCACUCUGGCCAUCAUGCCCAGCGGAACCGUACUUACAGGAUUCUCAGCAGAUGUUGACUGGCGACCACUUCAGUUUGUCCAGGCAAUGACUGGGGUACGCUUCUGCGAUUUGUGCGGAGUUUUGCCGAGAAACCUGCACCUCCUUGAAUGCACCCAUGGAUUCUGCCAUCACUGCUUCAACCAGCUGCUUGUGAAACCCUGCAAGAGCCCGUUUGACAAACGUCGCUUCACAGCCAGAGAGGUGCAAACCUUCGAGUUCACCGAGAGCGAACUGUUGCAGUUCGAAGUCCACUGCUGGAACUACGCCGACGGUUGCGAUUUUUUGGCUGUCCUCGUUGCAAGUACAGAGUUCGUCGCAGUGAAAUCCUUGAGCACAACAGCACAGAAUGCAAGGGUCCGUCUGCUGAACAAGGAAUGAACAUGUCUCACGCCAAGGACUUCGUAGCAGACGAUAUUGUUCGAGUAAGCCAAGAUAUGCAGCGUAGCGUGAUAUCGUUCUGCAACCAUCAGGAGACCUUGCAAAAUAAAGUGAACGCUUUAUCCUCAAGUAUCAAAUGCUUAGGAAAGAAGCUGCUACAGGUGAAAAAGGUCGCGGAAAACGCUGUCAAUGCGUGCAACGUACAGAAACAAGAUGCACUUCGUGCCGUUCAGGUCAGUGUCUCAGGGGACGAGAGAAAAGUGACCAACAAAAUUUUAAGUCAUGUCGGAGUAUCAAAUCCUGCUGCAACGAAAGGGGAGGAGGAGGAGGAAACAGCGGGUGGUGUGACUGGACCACGUGGUCUGGACAGACCAAGAAGCACAAGAAGAAGAAAAGGACGAAGAAGUAAUAGGCAACGGUAAAGUGUCUGAUAAACAGGACAGGGCAGAUGUCAUCUCGACAGGCAUUGACCGAUUCAUUGGGUGUACGUUGGACCCUUCGCGCUUCUUCGUGUUUCUGUAAACCCCGUAUUCGUUGUACCAGUUUCGUAUAAACUGCAAGGUGCUCUCCACGUGCUCCAGAUGCUGCUCCUGGUCACGUCGCUUUCCGUCCCGCUAAACUUAUGUAGCCGCAAAUGACACACAGCUAAUUCCAAAUCAAAAAUUCGUCGGCGUCGUACAAGCCGGGCCCAGUAUUUUGUUCGUCGUUAUUUUUAACAGGAACUAGUUUUUAAAUUGUGGUGGACCUGCAUCAAGCAAUGGGACAGAAAUGUACGUUGACUCGUUCAUGGUGUAAUAUACGCUGUCCUCGCAACUGCAA